Molecule: microRNA, 18 nt
Filed under: Corchorus olitorius
Lineage: Eukaryota; Viridiplantae; Streptophyta; Magnoliopsida; Malvales; Malvaceae
Description: cin-miR-4179a-
Source: RNAcentral
CUGCUGAUCUGGUAUAAA